CAAAAUAUAGCUAUUUAAGUAUUUUAGUUACAUUAAAAUGAAAGUUUUGAAACUUGUUUUGA
Molecule: transfer RNA, 62 nt
Filed under: Staphylinoidea sp. 5 KM-2017
Lineage: Eukaryota; Metazoa; Arthropoda; Insecta; Coleoptera
Description: tRNA-Val
Source: RNAcentral